Oncorhynchus keta (chum salmon) is the source of this 2702-nucleotide long non-coding RNA. RefSeq lists it as uncharacterized. The record is from RefSeq and is a predicted model, not a curated record. The transcript is spliced from 4 exons. Lineage: Eukaryota; Metazoa; Chordata; Actinopteri; Salmoniformes; Salmonidae.
UCAGCCGCAUCGACACACCCUUCCAGGUAACGUCCACAUCCUGGACACGCUGGUCAGCCGCAUCAACACACCCUUCCAGGUAACGUUCACAUCCUGGACACGCUGGUCAGCCGCAUCAACACACCCUUCCAGGUAACGUCCACAUCCUGGACACGCUGGUCAGCCGCAUCAACACACCCUUCCAGGUAACGUCCACAUCCUGGACACGCUGGUCAGCCGCAUCGACACACCCUUCCAGGUAACGUCCACAUCCUGGACACUCUGGUCAGCCGCAUCGACACACCAGGUACGGGAGGGAGUUUGCAGCUGAAGCACCUGCUCAGCACAUAUGUCAACAUCCCUUUUCAGAUCCGGGAGCCUUCGUACUAGCACUCACAAAUACACACAACCGCACACAGUUGCAAAUCAUAUUGAUUACUGUGCAUAUUUCAACCUAGAGUCUCCUAAUUACACUUAGUAAAUAGCCAGGCCUCCUCAACCUGACAUAAAUUAGAUCCUUCAGAAAGUUGUCUGUGAAUCUUGCUGCUAUGCUGUGUGAGUCAUGUUUAAAAUAACUGAGACUUGUUUUGGAGAUAAAUAGUUUCCCCAGAGGCCGUUUCCUAAUAAUUUAAACAAAUAUUUAAAAUGUCAGUAUCAAAGACAGCAGAUUGUUGCCAUGGCAAUGCACAAUAACUAUCUAAUUAGUCGUUGGACUCAUGAUACAAGGCAAGUAAAUAUUAGUAAAUGUAAUGUCUAGUUCAAACGGGGAAUUGCUGGAAAGGCUUCAUUCAUUAACAUCAAACAGAGGCUUGUCAAUUGAAACGUUCAAGUGCUCUCUUCACAGGACUACUCAACUGUGAAAAACGCUCCUGGGCAGAUUUGUACUCUACAGGGUAGAAAACAACACUUCUGAUACCUGCAGCCCAUUUAACAUUGAUGGUUUUGAUAAGGACAACACAGAGUUACGCAUGGAAUAAACAAACGUACAGUCAAUAACACAAAAGAAAAAGUAUAUAUACAUUGUGUGCAAAUGGCGUAAGGAGGUAUGGCAAUAAAUAGGCCAUAGUAGCGAAGUAAUUACAAUUUAUCAAAUUAACACUGGAGUGAUAGAUGUGCAGAUGAGGGUGUGCAAAUAGAAAUGCUGGUGUGCAAAAGAGUAAAAAAGUAAAAAACAAUAUGGGGAUGAGGUAGGUAGAUUGGAUGGGCUAUUUACAUAUGGGCUGUGUACAGCUGCAGCGAUCGGUAAGCUGCUCUGACAGCUGAUGCGUAAAGUUAGUGAGGGAGAUCUAAGUCUCCAGCUUCAGUGAUUUUUGCAAUUUGUUCCAGUCAUUGGCAGCAGAGAACUGGAAGGAAAGGCGGCCAAAGGGGGUGUUGGCUAUGGGGAUGACCAGUGAGAUAUACCUGCUGGAGUGCGUGCUACGGGUAGGUGUUGUUAUGGUGACCAGUGAGCAGAGAUAAAGCAGAGCUUUACAUAGCAAAGACUUAUAGAGGACCUGGAGCCAGUGGGUCUGGCGACGAAUAUGUAGCGAGGGCCAGCCGAUGAGAGCAUUCAGGUCGCAGUGGUGGGUGGUAUAUGAGGCUUUGGUGACAAAACGGAUGGCACUGUGAUAGACUGCAUCCAGUUUGCUGAGUAGAAUGUUGGAGGCUAUUUUGUAAAUGACAGCCAAAGACGAGGAUCGGUAGGAUAGUCAGUUUUUCGAGGGUAUGUUUGGCAGCAUGAGUGAAGGAGGCUUUUUGUGAAAUAGGAAGCCGAUUCUAGAUUUGAUAUUGGAUUGGAGAUGUUUAAUAUGAGUCUGGAAGGAGAGUUUACAGUCUAACCAGACUCCUAGGUAUUUGUAGUUGUCCAUAUAUUCUAAGUCAGAACUGUCCAGAGUAGUGAAGCUAGUCGGGCAGGCGGGCAGCGAUCGGUUGAAAAGCAUGCAUUUAGUUUUACUAGUGUUUAAGAGCAGUUGGAGGCCACGGAAGGAGUGUUGUAUGGCAUUGAAGCUCGUUUGGAGGUUUGUUAACACAGUGUCCAAUGAAUGGCCAGAUGUAUACAGAGUGGUGUUGUCUGCGUAGAGGUGGAUCAGGGAAUCACCCGCAGCAAGAGCGACAUCGUUGAUAUAUACAGAGAAAAGAGUCGGCCCGAGAAUUGAACCCUGUGGUACCCCCAUAGAGACUGUCAGAGGUCCAGACAACAGGCCCUCUGAUUUGACACACGGAACUUUAUCUGAGAAGAAGUUGGUGAACCUGGCGAGGCAGUCAUUUGAGAGGCCAAGGCUAUUGAGUCUGCUGAUAAGAAUGCGGUGAUUGACAGAGUCGAAAGCGUUGGCCAGGUCGACUCACUCUUGGUGAGUCGCCCCAUUCCAAACCCUCAAAAGGACAGACAUUUCCUUACUCUUAUCAUUAUUCAGCUGUCAGCAACUCCGACAGAUAGGCAUACACCUGUUUCCACACAAUCCAACCUAAUCAAGACAUACACCAUGCCUAAAAUAUAACACAAUAAGGACAUAGGGGCAGUAUUAGCUGGUUACAUGCCAUACUAAGCAAGUAUCAUCAAAAGCUGUGACUUCAGGCUGUCCAUGGUCACUCUGCAACAUUUAAACAGGUAUGAUGCCACGCGCCACAGGCAGCCAUUUUGAAAUUCAGCCUUGGUAAUCUCUUACUUGUUAAUCCAGCCUUGUGAUGUAUUCCGGUCCUCUGAGACCUUUGUUUCAUCUUGUGAUGCUUAUCUUCUUGGUGUU